UACAGAGACCUCAAGCGUUAUCCGGAAUGAUUGGGCGUAAAGCGUCUGUAGGUGGCUUUUUAAGUCCGCCGUCAAAUCCCAGGGCUCAACCCUGGACAGGCGGUGGAAACUACCAAGCUGGAGUACGGUAGGGGCAGAGGGAAUUUCCGGUGGAGCGGUGAAAUGUGUUGAUAUCGGAAGGAACGCCAGAGGCGAAAGCGGCACACUGGGUCUCAACUGACGCUGAGGCACGAAAGCCAGGGGAGCAAACGGG
This 253-nucleotide ribosomal RNA is filed under the name uncultured bacterium. Its description in RNAcentral is "partial 16S ribosomal RNA". It matches the Rfam family "Bacterial small subunit ribosomal RNA", at positions 524 to 776 of the family's 1533-position model. The record is from RNAcentral.